This 747-nucleotide ribosomal RNA is filed under the name Salmonella enterica subsp. enterica serovar Typhimurium. RNAcentral describes it as "partial 23S ribosomal RNA". It matches the Rfam family "Bacterial large subunit ribosomal RNA", at positions 852 to 1516 of the family's 2925-position model. The record is from RNAcentral. Lineage: Bacteria; Pseudomonadati; Pseudomonadota; Gammaproteobacteria; Enterobacterales; Enterobacteriaceae.
GUUCUCCCCGAAAGCUAUUUAGGUAGCGCCUCGUGAAUUCAUCUCCGGGGGUAGAGCACUGUUUCGGCUAGGGGGCCAUCCCGGCUUACCAACCCGAUGCAAACUGCGAAUACCGGAGAAUGUUAUCACGGGAGACACACGGCGGGUGCUAACGUCCGUCGUGAAGAGGGAAACAACCCAGACCGCCAGCUAAGGUCCCAAAGUCAUGGUUAAGUGGGAAACGAUGUGGGAAGGCCCAGACAGCCAGGAUGUUGGCUUAGAAGCAGCCAUCAUUUAAAGAAAGCGUAAUAGCUCACUGGUCGAGUCGGCCUGCGCGGAAGAUGUAACGGGGCUAAACCAUGCACCGAAGCUGCGGCAGCGAACGUAUCACCCAAGACAACUUUACGGAGUUGACGAUUGACGGAGCGAAGCGACGUCAAAGCGUUCAUUAAAGUCGAGUUGGCUUAGGGAUACGUUCGUUGGGUAGGGGAGCGUUCUGUAAGCCUGUGAAGGUGUGUCGUGAGGCAUGCUGGAGGUAUCAGAAGUGCGAAUGCUGACAUAAGUAACGAUAAAGCGGGUGAAAAGCCCGCUCGCCGGAAGACCAAGGGUUCCUGUCCAACGUUAAUCGGGGCAGGGUGAGUCGACCCCUAAGGCGAGGCCGAAAGGCGUAGUCGAUGGGAAACGGGUUAAUAUUCCCGUACUUGGUGUUACUGCGAAGGGGGGACGGAGAAGGCUAUGUUGGCCGGGCGACGGUUGUCCCGGUUUAAG